UAAUGGGUCAGCGACUUAUAUUCUGUAGCAAGGUUAACCGUAUAGGGGAGCCGAAGGGAAACCGAGUCUUAACUGGGCGUUAAGUUGCAGGGUAUAGACCCGAAACCCGGUGAUCUAGCCAUGGGCAGGUUGAAGGUUGGGUAACACUAACUGGAGGACCGAACCGACUAAUGUUGAAAAAUUAGCGGAUGACCUGUGGCUGGGGGUGAAAGGCCAAUCAAACCGGGAGAUAGCUGGUUCUCCCCGAAAGCUAUUUAGGUAGCGCCUCGUGAACUCAUCUUCGGGGGUAGAGCACUGUUUCGGCUAGGGGGCCAUCCCGGCUUACCAACCCGAUGCAAACUACGAAUACCGAAGAAUGUUAUCACGGGAGACACACGGCGGGUGCUAACGUCCGUCGUGAAGAGGGAAACAACCCAGACCGCCAGCUAAGGUCCCAAAGUCAUGGUUAAGUGGGAAACGAUGUGGGAAGGCACAGACAGCCAGGAUGUUGGCUUAGAAGCAGCCAUCAUUUAAAGAAAGCGUAAUAGCUCACUGGUCGAGUCGGCCUGCGCGGAAGAUGUAACGGGGCUAAACCAUGCACCGAAGCUGCGGCAGCGACACUAUGUGUUGUUGGGUAGGGGAGCGUUCUGUAAGCCGUUGAAGGUGUGCUGUGAGGCAUGCUGGAGGUAUCAGAAGUGCGAAUGCUGACAUAAGUAACGAUAAAGCGGGUGAAAAGCCCGCUCGCCGGAAGACCAAGGGUUCCUGUCCAACGUUAAUCGGGGCAGGGUGAGUCGACCCCUAAGGCGAGGCCGAAAGGCGUAGUCGAUGGGAAACAGGUUAAUAUUCCUGUACUUGGUGUUACUGCGAAGGGGGGACGGAGAAGGCUAUGUCAGCCGGGCGACGGUUGUCCCGGUUUAAGCAUGUAGGCGGAGGUUCCAGGUAAAUCCGGUACCUUAUUAACGCUGAGGUGUGAUGACGAGGCACUACGGUGCUGAAGUGAUAAAUGCCCUGCUUCCAGGAAAAGCCUCUAAGCAUCAGGUAACAC
RNAcentral lists this ribosomal RNA (1024 nucleotides) under Enterobacter hormaechei subsp. steigerwaltii. RNAcentral's name for it is "partial 23S ribosomal RNA". It matches the Rfam family "Bacterial large subunit ribosomal RNA", at positions 613 to 1637 of the family's 2925-position model. The record is from RNAcentral. Lineage: Bacteria; Pseudomonadati; Pseudomonadota; Gammaproteobacteria; Enterobacterales; Enterobacteriaceae.